AGUGAACGCUGGCGGUAGGCCUAACACAUGCAAGUCGAACGGCAGCACAGUAAGAGCUUGCUCUUACGGGUGGCGAGUGGCGGACGGGUGAGGAAUACAUCGGAAUCUACUUUUUCGUGGGGGAUAACGUAGGGAAACUUACGCUAAUACCGCAUACGACCUACGGGUGAAAGCAGGGGAUCUUCGGACCUUGCGCGAUUGAAUGAGCCGAUGCCGGAUUAGCUAGUUGGCGGGGUAAAGGCCCACCAAGGCGACGAUCCGUAGCUGGUCUGAGAGGAUGAUCAGCCACACUGGAACUGAGACACGGUACAGACUCCUACGGGAGGCAGCAGAGGGGAAUAUUGGACAAUGGGCGCAAGCCUGAUCCAGCCAUACCGCGUGGGUGAAGAAGGCCUUCGGGUUGUAAAGCCCUUUUGUUGGGAAAGAAAAGCAGCAGGUUAAUACCCCGCUGUUCUGACGGUACCCAAAGAAUAAGCACCGGCUAACUUCGUG
RNAcentral lists this ribosomal RNA (492 nucleotides) under uncultured bacterium. RNAcentral describes it as "partial 16S ribosomal RNA". It matches the Rfam family "Bacterial small subunit ribosomal RNA", at positions 29 to 507 of the family's 1533-position model. The record is from RNAcentral.